Nicotiana attenuata is the source of this 1219-nucleotide long non-coding RNA. RefSeq lists it as uncharacterized. Lineage: Eukaryota; Viridiplantae; Streptophyta; Magnoliopsida; Solanales; Solanaceae. The record is from RefSeq and is a predicted model, not a curated record. The transcript has 4 exons.
ACUUGGUCUAUCUCUGUACCAUAGUAAAAGAAAGAGUUCAUUUCAUGAUCUUUAUUUCGAGGCAACAGUGACAGCGGCUGCAGAAGAUGCUGUAGCACAGCUUGCAUUAAUGACACUGGUAACAGUUGCCUUUCAAAAGGUAAAACUCUUUUUGGCCCAGAGCAAUACCAGCAGUUACAAGAGUUUCCUGCAAAAACUGGGACAAGAUGAAGAACUUUGCUUACCUGAUAUAAAACAAUCAGGAUCACUGAGCCUCACAACCUAAAAUUUUCAGGCAAAUCCUUCUAUACCGGUGAUCCUUCAGCUGUGUCUUCGGACUUGGAAGGUGAAAUUUUCAAAACUGAACCUUGCAUGGAUUCACUGUCCAUUUCUGGUGAUCAAGAAAAAUUAAGCGGUCUGUCUCAUCGUCUUUCCGACUACUGCCCUUGGCUUAUUGUUACUGGUUCUGAUGCAAAUAAGUAUUCAUGCCUUCAGAAGAUGAAGAUGAGAUGGCUCACUCUAAACAUACAUCUCCACAGUCCAUGAGGGCUGAAAAGAUUAAUGCGUCUUCAAUUUUGCAGGGCAUGCAAGAGCUCAUUGGAAAUAAGAAAUCUCCUUCAGUGGAAUCAUUGUGCUAUUUUCCUCGAGAAACUAUAUCACUAGCUGAAAUGAAACCAUCCGAUGAUUCAUCUACCAUCUCGAAUGCAAAUUCUAGAGCGACAAAGUCUAUAGAAACCACAAGUUACCUCCUUUGCAACAGGGUCGGAGUGUACAAAUCCAUUCCAGAUGAGGUCUUCCCUGCAGGCUUCAUCACGUUGGCGACAUAGAGGCCGAUACCAAUAACCAACAUAGCAACAAGAUUCAUUUUCAUCACUUUCCAUGGCUUCUUCAGGUUUGCAAAUGUAUUGUCUACGAAAAGGACAAUGUAUUGCAUGCAUGUUUUGGAGGAGGGGAACAGAUAAUCAACGACAACGACAAUAAUUCCCAGCAAGUUGAAGUGAGUCCUCAUGCCAACGCUUCAAUAUUAAGGUGAAGAGUGUCAGAGUGUUCUUCUUGAACCAACUUUGAAGAAGGCACAAAAUCUUCAUAUACUUGAGUUGCUACAGUAGUUGCAAUCUUGUUGAUGGAAAGGAUGAAUUUUGUAGUGUAUUUAUAAACAAAAAAUUAUCCCUCAGAAAACUUUCAUGAGAUGCUCUCUGUUUUCUUUCAAAAUACAUAUUUCAUUACUUAUGUUUAUAAA